This 31-nucleotide ribosomal RNA is filed under the name Azadinium spinosum. Its description in RNAcentral is "partial small subunit ribosomal RNA". The record is from RNAcentral. Lineage: Eukaryota; Dinophyceae; Gonyaulacales; Amphidomataceae.
UCCGUAGGGUGAACCUGCGGAAGGAUCAUUC